UUUAGGAAAUAAAUAAAAAUAAAACCCUAGACGUAUAGUAUCCUCCAAACACAGAUCUAAGCUCUUCUCUAUCUCUAAGCUCUGGCGAUUGACGACGGCGGCAAGUUGGACUCCUCUCUCACAUCGACGAAGGCGGGUAUCUCCAGACUCCAGCGAUCGAUGACGAUGACGGCUUGAAAUCCUCUCUCUAUAGUCUACGAAAGUGGCAUCAGCAGCGGCAGUGUUUGAUGGAAAUAUUGGCGGCGUGAGCAGCGGCGACGGCACCAGCUCCGGCGUUGCUGCGCUUCCUCAGGUAUGUGCGGUUGCUGUCUUUCAUUUAUUUAACUACUCAAAUUGUAAUUUCAGUUUUAAAUUUAAAGUUUAUAUAUGUCAAUGCCGUUCGAGACUACAUAUUGAAGAUCGAGAAGGAGCUCUAACCAUUUUUAGCACAACCACCGUCACACCGCCCCUUCUCCGCUGCCCAGCCAUAGCCACAGCCGCCAUAGCCCACCGCCACACCAACCUCCGCCGCCGCCAUCGCUCUAAUUUAGGUCUUGUAUACUAAACUACUAAAGUUUGACAAACCUUCAUAUUUAGUACACAAGAGGUUGCUUAUGAUGAUUUUGUUGAUGCUGGAUCAUUUGCAGUUGCAAGAGAGAAAAUACUUCUAAGUUUGUUUUUCCAAGUGUUGUUUAUGUUUUCUGUAUGAUUUUUGCAUUUUGAAAUCUAUCAUGGUCUAAUUUUGGUGAAGGUCUACAUUUGAUCAAAGUCAUUGAAGAAGAAGGUUGUGGAUGCUGCAUUGAUCAAAGCUAUUGAAGUAGUGCCGGAUUUGAAGGCUUAUUUGGGUGCAGCAUACUUAAGUAGUAUCAAUUAAGUAGUAAUAUUUUCAUGACUUUUUUUUAUGAACAUGACAAUAAUUUUUGU
Ipomoea nil (Japanese morning glory) is the source of this 903-nucleotide long non-coding RNA. RefSeq lists it as uncharacterized. Lineage: Eukaryota; Viridiplantae; Streptophyta; Magnoliopsida; Solanales; Convolvulaceae. The record is from RefSeq and is a predicted model, not a curated record. The transcript has 3 exons.